RNAcentral lists this unclassified non-coding RNA (3900 nucleotides) under Hevea brasiliensis (rubber tree). Lineage: Eukaryota; Viridiplantae; Streptophyta; Magnoliopsida; Malpighiales; Euphorbiaceae. The record is from RNAcentral.
GGAAACAUUAUUAAAUUCGUGACUUCUCCAAUUGGAAGUCGAGACUGUCGGACUACAGUAGAUACGGUAUGAUCAAAAUUAAUAACGAUUGAAUUCAAAUUUUAAUACAGUUAAAUACAUAUAAAAUAGAAUAAAAGAUCACAUGAUAUACAAAUUUCUGUUCACAUGAUAACCUACGUAGCGUAACUGAAGAAACUCUUUCCAACCCUAACCAUCGCUCUGCUCUUUAUCUCGACAGCAGCGUGACACGUAACUAUAUCAUCAAAGCAAAUCAGAGGAAAAUCCAAAACACAAUUGAAAUUAGCAAAUUAACUAAAAAACUAUAUACAUAUAAUUUCAAUUUUACCUUGUCAAUAAUGACUUUCCUACGCUUCUAGCAUUCUCCAAAAACUGCCAGCUUUUAGCAGGAUCUCCAUCAACCACCGCAGACUUCAAGUUCAUAAAUAAUUUCUGAUAAGAACUACUUAAUUCUUCGUAGUUGUCCAUUUUUACAGCAGGGAAGCAUUUAGAAGAUUCUGAAAUGUUGUCCCGUGUUUCUUGUUCCCAAUCACUUUGCAGUGUCCCCAGCAACUGCCUUUUAUCCAAUUUGCUUCCUGUCCUGCAGCUUAUCGCCAAUUCUAGCUUUGCAGCCAUGAUAGUGGCCUGUCUGAUGCAGGAUGAAGGUAACUGUGCCAGCUGAGCGACCUUAAAUGCAAAACUCCUCUCUGACACACCAGGCACCAGCUUAUAAAGGUAAGUGACAUUUUCAUUAUAGAAUUUUGAGUCCAUGGCAUCCGUAUUUUUCUCCGAAGUUAGGUAUGAAACAUGGUAUGUCCCCACAGAGUCCAGGAAUUCAGUUUUGACAUCAGCAAUUUUAGGAUAGUGAGUUACAAAGAGUACCAUGCAUCUUUUCUCUUUCAGCAGAUGGUGUAACGUAGCAUAAGCAAUUGCUUCACCGUCAUGUGUACUUGUGCCUCUACCAAGCUCAUCCAUGAUAACCAGCGAACGUGCUGUGCAUUUGUGGAGUAUAUCAGAAGCCUCACUCAGCUCUUCUAAAAAGGUACUUCUCCCUUGUUGGAUGCUGUCAGAAGCUCCCAUACGAGUGUAGAUAGCAUCUAGCACAUGUAGUUUUGCUGAUGAUGCUGGUACAAAGGAACCAACCUGAGCCAUCAUUGCAAUGAGCCCAACUUGGCGAAUGUAGCAGCUUUUUCCCCCCAUGUUGGGUCCAGUGACUAUCUGACAAUGCUCUCCAUCUGCAUCCAAGUGGGUAUCAUUUGGGACAAAACUGUCUUGUAAUAUGGUCUCCAAAACCGGGUGACGACCAGAAGAGAUAUGUAUCUGAACAGGUUCACUGUCAUCCACAAACAUCGGACGGACAUAAUUCUUAUUUUUUGAAAGGCAGGCAAGUGAAUGCAAACAAUCCAAAGCAGCAAGUGCUUGAACAACAGCUUGGAACUCAGCAUAAUAUUUCCCAAAACCCCUUAGAAAGUUAUCCCAUGCAGCUCGGGAGACAACCAUGAGCUCCUCAUUGGCCAGUGAUAACUGGUCUAAGGCAGUCAAGACUUCAGGUGGGUGAUAGCGGAUUGUCUUCUUCGUACUGUUUACCUUCACCCAAUUUAGAGGUACUUUGACAUCUGUGGGCAACUCUAUCAAAUGUGUGUUUCCAGAGACACUCAUAAAUUCCAAAUUGUGCAUUUUAAGCUGCUUGCGAUACAAACAGAUUAAAGAAUCCAACUUCUCCUUUGCCAAUUGAACUGUUUUCCGGGAACUUGCAACCUCUGGAAAUUGGCCAUUAGAAAUGACAAUUAAGUUUGGUAUAUCCCCACGUUCAGCUGCUUCUUUAUUUAGGGUAGACAAGAGUUUUGCAGCAUUACCAACUACACUAGAUGAUGACACAGUAAAAAUCAGUUUUUUUAAUAGCACUGAGCACACAGUCUUAGCUUGAACUUUCUCAUUGUUGUGCUCUUCUUCAAUCUGAAGUCGCCCAAAUUGUUUCCCAGCAUGUAAUAUAGCUUGCAUAACAGAAAUGAACUCAGAUGCAGUGGCAGUCCGAUGAUAAAUUCUUGUUAUUCCACGUUGAAUGUCUGGCGAUCUUCCCAAAGUAGUCAAAACAGAAGAAAGCAAAUAAUAGAAGUCAGGCUGUACAAUUGCUACAUCAGAAUUUUCUCCAUCAAGCUUGCCAACAUUUUGAGAAGCUUUAUAAGAUCCCAUGGAUUUUGCAAUCUCAGAAACGGCAUCAAGACGGGCAGAAAUCAUGUUUCUAUCACAUAAAGGAUGCGUCACCCAGUGUCGUAGUAGCCUGGAACCAGAAACAGUAAGAGUAUAAUUCAUGACAUGCAGCAAUGAGCCAGACUCUAACCCAUUUGAGUUAUUCCUCAAAACCUCUAAUUGUUGAAGUGUGUUGGCUGAAAGAUUCAUCUCCAUGUUGCUUGAGAAUGGCCGAAAUGAAGCUCCAAGGCACAAAAUUCUUUCUAACCCGAAUUGUUUUAGAUGACGGAUGGUCAAUGCCAAAGCUUGCAUAGCCAAAUCUGGCAUGUUCAUAAUUCCCUCAAUAUCCAGGUGACAAUUGCCCUGUUCUGUCCCCUCCGUCUGCUUUUCACUAUCUUCUGUCUUAUCUUCAGCCAUAUUCUCAUAUGAAGACAUCACCUCAGCAAGUACACCACCAUCAUUAAAGCAAUCUCGCGAGGCACGCUCCACACGGACAUUUGAUGAAGGUCCAGCAUAUGUCAGUAGCAACUUCUCUGUUUGUUUAGAAAGUGGGUCCCCAAGGAGUAACUCAGCUGGAGAUAAGCUCAAAACCACAGCCUCAAGCCCACUCCUCAAAAAAACAUCGUUAAACUCACCAAAAACAACGUCCCCAGUUGAAAUCUCAACUCCCAUAAACCCAAUCCUCGUAUCAAACCCACUCUCAACCUCACGAUCAGCAUUCUCCACCAAAAAGCUCCUGUCCACGACACAGCAGAGAUAAUUGCUCUCUCCACCACAGCCCUCCUCCCUUCCACCAACAUCCUCGGCUGCCUCCAUUGUCGCCUUCGUAUACAACGCCGAUAACCCUCUGCAAAAUGGGCCUGUCUUGUUAUCCCCAUGAGCCUUAAUUGCGGCUGUCUCAGUCUGCUUAACAACACCAACCUUAUACCCUGCGCUGACCAAUCUUCUGACAUGGACAUUUAAUCGAAAAGUUGGCACGCUAGCCGUCAUAAAAUUGUGAUCCAUGUGGGCAUAAAUCCCCAGCACUCUGGCCGCAGUCCCCGCAUCCUCCCCGAAGAAUCGGUACUUGUAACCUACUUCAACCAUCAAAAGGACAUCUGGAUACCUGUUCUUUAGGUCCAGAACUUGCUGUUCUAAUGGGGUGUACUUUUUGGGAAUUGAAGAUUGAGUGGACGAUGGCUGUGAGGUUUCAGGGGAUGAUUCUAGAAGUUUGUCGAGGAACUUUUGGUGGACGGAGGGGGUGGGGGUAGGAUUUUGGGUGUGAGGGGAAAGUUUGGGCCUUUUUGGAGUGGAAGUGAGGUGGGCAGAGAGGAGUUUUCUUUUGGCGGGAGAGAAGGAGACAGUGGCAGAGAUUUUGGGGGUUGAAGCCGGAGACGAAGAAGAUGAAGGGGUUGUUGGUAGAGUUGACGGAUCAUUGGUUUUAGCUUUGGGAGCAAAGAAGCGGGAGAUUACCUGUUGCUUUUGCUUGCCCAUGCUAUUGCUGGGGAGGUUUUGGGCUGGCGAUUUGGUAGUCGCCGUGAGUGGAAUACUCGAUAGAAGGAUAUUACUGAUUUGGCGCGCUUUGCUUUUAUGUUUCUCUGAACAACUACUCUUGCUGUAUUACCUCGCCAAUUUCGACUGAGCUAAUUAACUGGCUUUCCACACGCUGUGACUUCAGCAUCUUUUUAUUAACUUUAUAUGAUCCAGCCUCUUCGCAAUUUACACCACUUUACG